Molecule: unclassified non-coding RNA, 3698 nt
Filed under: Hevea brasiliensis (rubber tree)
Lineage: Eukaryota; Viridiplantae; Streptophyta; Magnoliopsida; Malpighiales; Euphorbiaceae
Source: RNAcentral
GUAGAAAUUAAAGCUGCCUAGAUCAUAUAACUAUCCUGCACUUGCAAAGGUAGUCAUAAGACUAUGGAGAGCUGGCGGAUGCUUCUUCCCAUCUCAUAUCUAUUUUGUUCACAGACCAUGCAACUUGCCUCCAAAACAAAACAUUUGCCUAGAAGUAUUAGUUUUGAUCUUUUGAAAUUCUAGCCUGCAAGUUUCUUCAGAAACCAAAAUGAUGAAAAUGGCUCAUAUUCGUAAUAUGCGUGUCAAUUUGUAAACCUGAAAAGAAUGAAACAGCUUGGUCAAACAUAGAAAUUUCAUGAACAUUGUGAUUAAGGAAACAAAAGUGGAAAUUUUGUUACAAUGGAGGAUAGCUGACGAGGAAUUUUGGUACUAGUCCUAGAUGAUCUUAGGACGUAACAAGCCAACAACAUAGGCUUCAAAAACAUAGGGUCCAGAGAACAGCAUUCAAUGAUGCAAAAGCACUACAGCUCUCAAGACGUAAUCAGCUAGAAAGACGCCCACUUCAUAGAACAUUAGAAAUUAAAUUACUGACCUGGGCAGUCCUACAAGGCAGGGACACUUCCAAGCAGUUUCGGAGGCCAUCAACUCUGCGGAGACAGAUAGGUGAGAUCCAGAUAACAAUAAAGAAAAUUAGCAAAUAUAUAAUACAGAAAACAAGUUUCUAUGUGGGGAAAGAUACUGCCUUUUGUUAAUGGUUCUUUGAAGAUACUGAUCAACCUUUAUAAGCCCGUGACCUCCAUACUUCAUCUCAUCAGUGUUUAGUAUGAUCUGUGCCAUCAUAAAUAACGCUUAAAUUUAACUGCAGGAUGUGAGAUAGGAGGACAAGCCUCUUCUAGGAUCAGUAAUCUCCUCGCAAACAUAGAUGAUCAAAUUAAAAUGCAAAGAGAACUGCAUAUAUAUGGCAUGACCAGUCUAAAUCACAUAAGCUUGAACAGUCUACGCCACUAAAUAAAAACUCGAUUGACCCAUAUGGCAGGAAGGUGGGAUUACUUUUCACAAAAGCUGAAAGCUUUCUUAAGAAGUGCCAUUUUGAUAUCUUAGCUUUUGUGAACCUUGCUGCCAAAUGGGCACUAUAUUCUUACCAUUAAAUACAGUAAAAGACAAGGAAUCAAACUAUGACUUACUUGAUACUCUCCUGCUUCUUCUACACCUACACUGUAUCUUUCAUAUGCAUUGGUUGGAUGAAAAUUGAAUACAAAGAGAAGAGGACCUCUUGUGUAAGAUAUUACCAUGGAAGUAUCAUUCACAUGGUGAAUGCUUGGCAAACCCCGAGAAAGCACCCUUUGAUUUUCAUCCAAAUUCAUCAGAUCCUUAUCAAAGGAGAACAAAUUGCGAUGCACGUCUUCAUUUGCCAGCAGAUCCCAACUACGUUUAGCAAGCGAAUAUGAGAAGUUGUUGCUAGGCAUUGGGAACUCUACCCUGUUCGGAUGCCCAAAUUCAUUGCCCAUGAAAUUGAGGUAAGCAUCACCACCAAUUGUAAAGGUAAUCAUUCUGAUCAUUUUGUGUAGGGCACAUCCCAUAAGCAGUGAUUCCUUAGAGGCAGGAGAUUCAGGAGAAUGGUUCUUAUAUUCACCAAACAUUAUCUCUGCAAAUGACUGCCCUCCAGAGAUAGAUUGGUUGUGAUUUUCAGCAUAUAAAAGCAUCUUUCCUGCAUAUUGUUUGUUGCCCAUUAAUGUACUGACAAUCUUGGUCAUGCUCCACUCAUCAUAUGGAACAUCCUUGAGAAAAGAGGACCACAUCUCUGAUGCAGAAAUAUUGACAUAAUAAUCAAAUCCCAAUCCCCCUUGUGAAGUUGGUUCGCAGAGUCCAGGAUAAAAUGUUGCAUCUUCAGCAAUCGUUAUUAUAUUAGGAUGAAGAGUAUGUAAUAGCUCAUUUGCCAAUAUGAGAUACAAUAAUGCAUCUUUGUCAACAUAUUGAUUGCAGUACUCUUCCAAGUCGCCAGUAAAAGAAGCAAAACCAUUGUGUGUGUACAGCAUUGAUGAGAGUGAAUGAAAUUGGAAACCGUCUAUUUGAUACUCCACAACCCACCAGUUAAGAUUUGAGAGUAGAUAAUGCAGUACUUCAUGGUCUCCAUACUUGAACAUCCUUGUACCCCAAUAUUUGUGAUGCCCACGUUUACCAGUGUGAAAGUAGCAAUCAUUUGACCCAUCGAAAAGUGAGAGUCCAACCAUCUCAUCAGCAGCUGAGUAGGAAUGGACAAUGUCCAAGAACACUAGUAAUUCUAAUCCAUGUGCUUCAUCAACCAAGCGUUUGAAGUCAUCAGGAGUGCCAUAUCGGCUGCUAACAGCAUACAAAUUGGUAACCCUAUAACCAACAGUAAAAUAAUCUUUGUGCUCAACAACUCCAAUCAGCUGGAUUGCAUUGUAUCCCGCUUCCUUCACAUGUGGAAGGACCUUCUCUGUGAAAUCAUUGAAUGAAGAUAUUUUUGGCUCUGAGCCACUAAUUCCAACAUGGCACUCAUAUAUACGCAAUGACUUUGGCACUUUUGGGUGAGUGUUUUUCCAUUUGUAAGCACGAUCUGGGGGUGGUUCCCAGUGGAUGGCAAAAGGUUGUUUCCCAUCUGUGCCUGGUUGUACAUAAGUAGCCCAAGCAGGCACACGUUCCAGUGGCCCAUUGGGAGUGUUAAAGUAGACCCUAUAUUUGCUUUCAUGAGGAAUAGUAGGAGUAUACUUUUUCAACCAUGCUUGCCUUCCUUUCCGUGUCUCAAACCAAUAAGGCAGGGGAGGCUGCUUAGCACGGAUUUUCUCUAGCCAUGCAGGAUCACUUAUGACAUUAAAUAUGUCAUAUUCUUUUCCUUUAUCAAUCACAUCACACGGAGGUAAGUUACUAGGUGGAUCAUCUUUAUGCUGCUCUUUCCAGGCUUUAUAUCUCGUUUCUGCGUCUGGUAGUGGUAUUGCAUCCAAUUCUUCUAUCGUUUCAGGUCCAUUAGGGCCAAACCAUUGCUCAUACAACUUUGCUGGAACUUUAAACCGGUUUUUAAUAUACUCAUCUUCACCAGGUUCCCAGUAUUCAUCAUUUGCUUUGUUGAAGAUUUCUUCAAUGCUAACACCGCUGUCACCUUUAUCAUAGUCAUCCACAUAGUUAUACUGUUGGAAAUAAAGCUCAUCUGGUUUUUCUCCCUCCCUUAGUUUAUCUUCAAGAAUGAUAAACCAAUAACCAUAGUCAUCAUGGCCUAAGUGACCCUCUCUUGCAAAAUUUUCUGUUGGUGACCACCCAUUAAAGUCACCAACUAGAGCACAAUAGCGCGCACCUGGUGCCCAUUCCAUAUGAUCCAUCCGAUGCUCUGGAUGACGAUGCAGACCCAUCAACUCAAACCCAUAAGCAAUGUCCUUGAUCAUAAGGUUUCGGUUGAAAAGUUCUUCUUUGAGGUCCUUCAACGCUUUAUGUCUUUCACGGAGAAACUGAGCGAAUUGUUUAUGGGAAAUGCCGAGUCUGGUGAGGAACCCGACGGGGUCAAUUCCUUUCUCGCCUUCAGUUUCACUUUUCUUGCUCUUAUUGGAGUGCUUUUGUUGUUUUGAUGGUGUUGGUGGUUGGUUUGUGGCUGUGCAUGUUAUUUUUAAUCGGAUUUUGCAGGGAAAAAAAUUGAUGCUUUGAGCUUUGGUUUGGGAGCGAAAAUGUAAAGAGGGGCUGUUUGGAUAGAUAGAAAAAGAGGAUUUGGUUGAGAGAAGUGAAAUCAUCUCUGAGAGAGAGAGAGAGAG